CAAUAAAAUGUUUGACCUAUCGAAGCAAAACUAACCUAAGAUACAGUGUUUUAUUGUGAGUGUUAGUGUUGAUGUCAGUGUCAGACUUAUUGCAGGAGGUUUUUGUACAGCUGUUGAUUGGGUUUGUAUCACUGUGGUACACGUUCGGUGGAGGCACCCAACUCUCAGUUGGAACUGCGGCUCGUCCCGCUCUGACGGUGCUGCCUCCCUCCAGAGACGAGCUGCAGCAGGGUAAGGCUACAGUGCUGUGUGUGGCCAGUAAGGGAUUCCCCUCUGACUGGAAGCUGAGCUGGAAGGUGGACGGCAGCAGCAGGAGCUCUGGUGUCAAUCUGAGUCCCAGUCAGCUGCAGAAGGAUGGACUGUACAGCUGGAGCAGCAGCCUGAGCCUCACUGAGAGUGAGUGGGGCAGAGCAACAACCGUCAGCUGUGACGCCACGCACCCGUCCCACAAUGCAGUCACCAACAGCCUCAACACAAAGCAGUGCAAUGAUGACCAGUGAAAUAUACACAAAACACAGUCUUAAUAAAGAACAAACAUCACGGUUUUCCAAUUUGCUUUGUAUGCAAAUCUUUUUAAAGCCUGUUUAAUACAUAUGACCAAGUAUGUUUUCUUAAUUUUUUUGCCAAAUAAAAGCUUUAUAAAUCA
Molecule: non-coding RNA, 646 nt
Organism: Cyprinus carpio (common carp)
Lineage: Eukaryota; Metazoa; Chordata; Actinopteri; Cypriniformes; Cyprinidae
Source: the annotation of a RefSeq genome assembly